This 343-nucleotide ribosomal RNA is filed under the name uncultured Parabacteroides sp. RNAcentral describes it as "bacterial SSU rRNA". It matches the Rfam family "Bacterial small subunit ribosomal RNA", at positions 355 to 696 of the family's 1533-position model. Lineage: Bacteria; Pseudomonadati; Bacteroidota; Bacteroidia; Bacteroidales; Tannerellaceae. The record is from RNAcentral.
UGAGGAAUAUUGGUCAAUGGACGAGAGUCUGAACCAGCCAAGUCGCGUGAAGGAAGACGGAUCUAUGGUUUGUAAACUUCUUUAGUGUGGGAACAAAGCGUGGUUGCGACCGCAGAUGAGUGUACCACAAGAAUAAGCAUCGGCUAACUCCGUGCCAGCAGCCGCGGUAAUACGGAGGAUGCGAGCGUUAUCCGGAUUUAUUGGGUUUAAAGGGUGCGUAGGCGGAUUAUUAAGUCAGCGGUGAAAGCGUGUGGCUCAACCAUACAGUUGCCGUUGAUACUGGUAGUCUUGAGUGUAAACGAGGUAGGCGGAAUGUGAUGUGUAGCGGUGAAAUGCUUAGAUA